Molecule: ribosomal RNA, 2296 nt
Filed under: Staphylococcus aureus
Lineage: Bacteria; Bacillati; Bacillota; Bacilli; Caryophanales; Staphylococcaceae
Description: bacterial LSU rRNA
Rfam family: Bacterial large subunit ribosomal RNA
Source: RNAcentral
UUAAGUUAUUAAGGGCGCACGGUGGAUGCCUUGGCACUAGAAGCCGAUGAAGGACGUUACUAACGACGAUAUGCUUUGGGGAGCUGUAAGUAAGCUUUGAUCCAGAGAUUUCCGAAUGGGGAAACCCAGCAUGAGUUAUGUCAUGUUAUCGAUAUGUGAAUACAUAGCAUAUCAGAAGGCACACCCGGAGAACUGAAACAUCUUAGUACCCGGAGGAAGAGAAAGAAAAUUCGAUUCCCUUAGUAGCGGCGAGCGAAACGGGAAGAGCCCAAACCAAAAAGCUUGCUUGUUGGGGUUGUAGGACACUCUAUACGGAGUUACAAAGGACGACAUUAGACGAAUCAUCUGGAAAGAUGAAUCAAAGAAGGUAAUAAUCCUGUAGUCGAAAAUGUUGUCUCUCUUGAGUGGAUCCUGAGUACGACGGAGCACGUGAAAUUCCGUCGGAAUCUGGGAGGACCAUCUCCUAAGGCUAAAUACUCUCUAGUGACCGAUAGUGAACCAGUACCGUGAGGGAAAGGUGAAAAGCACCCCGGAAGGGGAGUGAAAUAGAACCUGAAACCGUGUGCUUACAAGUAGUCAGAGCCCGUUAAUGGGUGAUGGCGUGCCUUUUGUAGAAUGAACCGGCGAGUUACGAUUUGAUGCAAGGUUAAGCAGUAAAUGUGGAGCCGUAGCGAAAGCGAGUCUGAAUAGGGCGUUUAGUAUUUGGUCGUAGACCCGAAACCAGGUGAUCUACCCUUGGUCAGGUUGAAGUUCAGGUAACACUGAAUGGAGGACCGAACCGACUUACGUUGAAAAGUGAGCGGAUGAACUGAGGGUAGCGGAGAAAUUCCAAUCGAACCUGGAGAUAGCUGGUUCUCUCCGAAAUAGCUUUAGGGCUAGCCUCAAGUGAUGAUUAUUGGAGGUAGAGCACUGUUUGGACGAGGGGCCCCUCUCGGGUUACCGAAUUCAGACAAACUCCGAAUGCCAAUUAAUUUAACUUGGGAGUCAGAACAUGGGUGAUAAGGUCCGUGUUCGAAAGGGAAACAGCCCAGACCACCAGCUAAGGUCCCAAAAUAUAUGUUAAGUGGAAAAGGAUGUGGCGUUGCCCAGACAACUAGGAUGUUGGCUUAGAAGCAGCCAUCAUUUAAAGAGUGCGUAAUAGCUCACUAGUCGAGUGACACUGCGCCGAAAAUGUACCGGGGCUAAACAUAUUACCGAAGCUGUGGAUUGUCCUUUGGACAAUGGUAGGAGAGCGUUCUAAGGGCGUUGAAGCAUGAUCGUAAGGACAUGUGGAGCGCUUAGAAGUGAGAAUGCCGGUGUGAGUAGCGAAAGACGGGUGAGAAUCCCGUCCACCGAUUGACUAAGGUUUCCAGAGGAAGGCUCGUCCGCUCUGGGUUAGUCGGGUCCUAAGCUGAGGCCGACAGGCGUAGGCGAUGGAUAACAGGUUGAUAUUCCUGUACCACCUAUAAUCGUUUUAAUCGAUGGGGGGACGCAGUAGGAUAGGCGAAGCGUGCGAUUGGAUUGCACGUCUAAGCAGUAAGGCUGAGUAUUAGGCAAAUCCGGUACUCGUUAAGGCUGAGCUGUGAUGGGGAGAAGACAUUGUGUCUUCGAGUCGUUGAUUUCACACUGCCGAGAAAAGCCUCUAGAUAGAAAAUAGGUGCCCGUACCGCAAACCGACACAGGUAGUCAAGAUGAGAAUUCUAAGGUGAGCGAGCGAACUCUCGUUAAGGAACUCGGCAAAAUGACCCCGUAACUUCGGGAGAAGGGGUGCUCUUUAGGGUUAACGCCCAGAAGAGCCGCAGUGAAUAGGCCCAAGCGACUGUUUAUCAAAAACACAGGUCUCUGCUAAACCGUAAGGUGAUGUAUAGGGGCUGACGCCUGCCCGGUGCUGGAAGGUUAAGAGGAGUGGUUAGCUUCUGCGAAGCUACGAAUCGAAGCCCCAGUAAACGGCGGCCGUAACUAUAACGGUCCUAAGGUAGCGAAAUUCCUUGUCGGGUAAGUUCCGACCCGCACGAAAGGCGUAACGAUUUGGGCACUGUCUCAACGAGAGACUCGGUGAAAUCAUAGUACCUGUGAAGAUGCAGGUUACCCGCGACAGGACGGAAAGACCCCGUGGAGCUUUACUGUAGCCUGAUAUUGAAAUUCGGCACAGCUUGUACAGGAUAGGUAGGAGCCUUUGAAACGUGAGCGCUAGCUUACGUGGAGGCGCUGGUGGGAUACUACCCUAGCUGUGUUGGCUUUCUAACCCGCACCACUUAUCGUGGUGGGAGACAGUGUCAGGCGGGCAGUUUGACUGGGGCGGUCGCCUCCUAAAAGG